Camellia sinensis is the source of this 531-nucleotide non-coding RNA. The record is from RefSeq and is a predicted model, not a curated record. NCBI's taxonomy places the organism in Eukaryota, Viridiplantae, Streptophyta, Magnoliopsida, Ericales, Theaceae.
CCUCCGAAACCUUCGAGUUCUCCUUGGAAGUAUCUGCAGAUGUUUCUCUCUUGUUGUUAUUGUUGUUGCUGGUGUUCUUGCUGUCGUUGUCGCUGUUGCUGUUCUGCUCCGUGAUCUUCGACUCUCCCUGUUCGACAUGGCGUAAAACAUUUGACAUGGCUUCAAAGGUCUUCUUGGAGAUGCAUUACAACUGGCACAAGCGCUUGACAAAUGAUAUUGCUAAGACCAUGCUAUUUCACACUGUGGAAAUUUUUAUCUGAACCUGGGGUGUUGGGAAGGAAGUAAACAUUUUGCUGUGGAAAUUUUUAUCUGACCUGGCGGGUGGUGGAAGGAAAGCUUGGUCCUUGUGCGCUUCUAGCAUCCAACUUAUAUUUACUAUUCUUGUAUAGGUAUUUUUAUCACCACAACGAAAUAAUUGUUGUAUUUUGUGUCAUAUAAAUUAAGUUCUGCCCUCAAAGUUGUCUUUUAUGGAGCUGUGUGUGACUUUAAUUUGAUUAUUCACUUUUCCCAUUCUGAAUUAUAAAAUCCAGU